RNAcentral lists this ribosomal RNA (449 nucleotides) under uncultured bacterium. Its description in RNAcentral is "bacterial SSU rRNA". It matches the Rfam family "Bacterial small subunit ribosomal RNA", at positions 32 to 507 of the family's 1533-position model. The record is from RNAcentral.
AAUCAACGCUGGCGGCGUGCCUAACACAUGCAAGUCGAACGAGAAAGGGGACUUCGGUCCCUGAGUAAAGUGGCGCACGGGUGAGUAACACGUGACUUAUCUACCCUCGAGUGGGGAAUAACUUCGGGAAACCGAGGCUAAUACCGCAUAAUACCCACGGGUCAAAGGAGCAAUUCGCUUGAGGAGGAGGUCGCGGCCGAUUAGUUAGUUGGCGGGGUAAUGGCCCACCAAGACAGUGAUCGGUAUCCGGCCUGAGAGGGCGCACGGACACACUGGAACUGAAACACGGUCCAGACUCCUACGGGAGGCAGCAGUGGGGAAUUUUGCGCAAUGGGGGAAACCCUGACGCAGCAACGCCGCGUGGAGGAUGAAGUCUCUUGGGACGUAAACUCCUUUCGAUCGGGACGAUUAUGACGGUACCGGAAGAAGAAGCCCCGGCUAACUUCGUG